RNAcentral lists this RNase P RNA (357 nucleotides) under Bacteroidales bacterium. RNAcentral's name for it is "RNase P RNA component class A". It matches the Rfam family "Bacterial RNase P class A". Rfam says of the family: Ribonuclease P (RNase P) is a ubiquitous endoribonuclease, found in archaea, bacteria and eukarya as well as chloroplasts and mitochondria. The record is from RNAcentral. Lineage: Bacteria; Pseudomonadati; Bacteroidota; Bacteroidia; Bacteroidales.
UGGCGACAUCGUUCUGUCGCUUCGGUUUUAUCGAAGAGGAAAGUCCGGGCAACACAGAGCAUCAUACUGCCUAACGGGCAGGCAAUCGGUAAAAUGAUUGACAGCAAGUGCCACAGAAAAUAACCGCCUUCUCUUGAGGGUAAGGGUGAAAACGUGAGGUAAGAGCUUACGAAGCAGAUUAGUGAUAGUCUGGUUGGGUAAACCUUAUGAGUUGAAAGACCAAAUAUAUCAGAGUUAAGGAUUGCUCGUCCGUUUCUGAGGGGUAGGUCGUUAGAGGUUUGUCGUAAGGCAUUCAGUAGAUUAAUGACGGAAGCAGGGAAACCUGAACAGAACCCGGCUUACAGAUGUCGCCAAAUG